RNAcentral lists this long non-coding RNA (1666 nucleotides) under Equus caballus (horse). RNAcentral describes it as "lncRNA (ENSECAG00000055528.1)". The record is from RNAcentral. Lineage: Eukaryota; Metazoa; Chordata; Mammalia; Perissodactyla; Equidae.
UGGUUCCCUUUACAGUCAGAGGAUGAACAGAAACCUCACAGCAGAAGCUUGGGGACAACUUGGGACAUUUUGUGGUACUCCAUGAGGAGGUAUUUGAACAGCUGCCUACGCAGAGGCGAGGGAGGGAGCCUUGCCUUCCUAACUGGAGGAAUAUGACUGUGUGCACAGAGGAGGGCCGCACCUUGGACCCCAACUUUUAGCGGCUGGGGGAGCUGCAGGAUGGAGCACAGAAGCUUGUUUGCUAGCUGCAGAAUCUUGCGCCUACACCCUAGAGCUAGUGUCAUGGCCUCAAGACUUCUUGAACAAGAGAGUUACACCAGAAUCUUUAAGAAGAUCUCAGGCACAUCUCUGAUGUAGCCACAUAGAGCCCAAAGGUUGCAGUGCCGAGGGACUCGCUCCCGGGUUCUCGUCUGUGAGAACCACUCCAAAGGGACCCAGGGCACCUUGUGGCCAUCGAGCUCUCUGUUGGGACCAGUAGCAGCCUCCUGAGGGGACUGCAGAGUCCUGCCCUCGAGGAACUUACAGGGAGGAACCAGUUGUAGCUGACACGCACUGAGCUUCAGACCCUGUAACUAAUGCUGUCAGGGAUCAUGUCCUUUAAUCUGCGCAGCCACCUGAUGAGGUUGGACAAUUACUUCCCCCUUUUUAGAGAUGAGGAGAUUGAAGUUUACAGAGAUUAAGUUUUUCCAUGGGGCCACACAGCUAGUGAGAGAUGAGGCUGGGACUGAACUCAGGCAGUCCAGCUCCAGACGCUCCGUUGUGUAAAUAUAGAUAUUAGUGACAACGUUUGUAGUGUGGAGUAGCAAUUCUUAAUUCUUCACUAAUGGCGAGAUAGAGUAAAACUAGCUGCCCCUGUAUGGAACAUUCUGUGACAAAUACAGUGACGCCUUCUUACCGUGAUUCUUCUCCAGAUCUCAGGAGUCAUGGGAACUAAUUGCAAAUCAAAUGGCUCUAAUUUGCUACUUUCAAGUCAAGGAGGCCACAGAAGGAGAAUUUCAAGAAGGGAGUAGAGGACAAUGUUACAUGCUGCAGAGAGAAAGUAAAAUGGGAACUGGGAAGAUUCCAUCAGAUUUGCAAUUAGACUUUGUGAACUAAAAUAUCUCUUGUGUCCUGGGAUACCAAGAGAUUUUUUUCCUUGCUUAAUUUUGAUGAAAUAAUUUUGAUGAAAUAGGUCAUAUACACAUAGUGCUAAAUUCAAAACACAGAAGAGGAAGACAGCGAAAAGCCUCUAGGUGUCCCCCUCCCAUCCCUGCACCCCAGGCGCCCAGGUUCCUUUCCAGGAAGCAAACAAUAUUACCAAUUUAUUGUGCAUCCUUACUCUAUACGCAUCUAAUAAAUAAGUGUAUAUACUCUUUUUUCUGUUUUUACACACAGGGUAUCAUACUGUAUGGAGUGUUCUGCACCUCUUCUUGUUGUUAAUUUAACAAUAUAUCCGUGGUCUUGUAGACCAUUCCAUAACAGUAGGGCGCGAGUUUCCUCAUUACUUUUUGCAGUUGCACGGGGUUCCAUGGUAUGAAUGUAUUCUAAUUAAUGAAGAUAUGUUUUCAGUUGACCCUAAAAAAACACCAACAUCUAGGAAAGAUACUGGAAAGGGCUUUCUCUUUCAAGGACAGAAAGGUAGCUAUCUGGAGCAAGUAGACAGAACGGAGGACCAUUCAAAUACUAA